AUCAAUAUUUGGUUUCACAAACUUUGUUGUUGUGGCUUUAAUCUAUUUGGUUUGGUAUUUACAUGUCACAAAUCAUUAUCACUCUAACACAAAAGUACUUUAUAAGGUAAGUUUACUUUCUCUAGUAAAUUGCACCAAGUCAUUGAUAAGUGCCUACAUUUGUGUACCUAUAAUUCCAUUGACCUCAACUUUUAAAUGCAGUAGGAGUGCUUAAAAAUGGCUGGGCAGCUAUUAGAUUCAAGGAUACCAACAUGAAACACCUUCUCAAUACAACAACAACAUUAGUUUCUCACUGUUCUUCAUGCUAAGUUUUUCCUCUGAGUAAGUUUCCUUUGACAUUUGAUUCUGCUUUUUAUGUUAGGAUCCUGCUUUACUGUCGUGAAGAAUUUGGAUAAACAUUUUCUCACCUCAAAAUCUUAAAUUUGUGAUGUUUAAUUUUAUUAUUUGAAUGCAAAGUUAAGGGUUGUACUUAGCCAUUCGAUUAGAAUAAAGUAUGAGUAGGAGUUUUGAAGGAAACUGAAUCCAGUUUUCUGAUUUUUGUCUUUGCAUUCAACUUCAUUAUAGUCAUCCAUGUGGUGUCUCUUCUACGUAAUUAUUAAUCUUAACACACGUGCAUGUUGAAUGGACACGAUUGGAUCUCACACGGUGUAGACAUAUAUGUUGUCGUCUUUAUGCGUGUUCUUCAUUGACUUUUGCAUGUCAUACAUGCACCUAUAAAUAUCACACCAUUUUUUAUUAGAAAAAAAUCACAGCAUAAUAUUCAUGAUUGAUUAAGAAAUGAGGUUUUUUAUAUACCUUAUCUUUUAAACACUGAUUUAACAUGCAUUAGUGUUUUAUAUUCCUCUUUUUCUUUUUUUUUUAUAUCAUUUUUUUUUCUUUUAUUCUCUUGCUAGGUAUGAAAUAGAUUUUUAAGUGACUCGAAAUUAUUUUUGUUUCUGAAAAGUGACAAAUAAAUUCUCGUGUUUAUAUGUAUUCGACCGUUAAAUUGUAAUUAUAUAUUGUUGCAGUUUAAUAUUAAACAAAAACAAAGAAUUUAUAUUACAUUUUGAAAAAGAUACAUUAUGAUGAUUAAGAUAUUAAAUAAUUUUAUAUUGAUAAAAAAAUUGUAAAUAUGAUUUGGAUAAAAAAAUAAUCUAAUAGUGGAUUUAAAAAAAAUGGAAUAAGAAGAAAGUGUAAUAUUUGAAAAAGAAAACAUAAAUUAAACUCUAAUUCAUUACUGUUUUUGUUUUAUCUUAUGACAAUAGUUUAACAUGAAUGUUUUGGGAAAUUCAAUAUUUUAGAUAAAUUAAGACUUUGGAAAUUUAGGGAAAAAAAUCAAGAAAAUAAGCUAUUGCAAUAAAAAAAACAUGUACCUUUAUUUCUGUUACUUUGAUAUGGUGUGUCAAUUAUUUAGAUUAAAUUAUUUAUGAAACAUAUUUAAUUAAAUUGACUAAACUUAUAAUAUAAAGUAUGUUUGGCCAAUAAAAUUUAUUCAUUUAAAUUCCCUUUGAAAUCUACUAAAAUUUUGAAAUUAUUACCACAUUAAGCUGUUUAACAAAGCUCACAUGGUCACCUUUUCACUAAAAUUUUCAUUUUAAUUUGGGAAAAACAUAUUUCUAUUUUUCCAUGAAAAUAAUUUUGUAGAAAAAGCCAAUGAAAAUAUUUUAGAAAAAGAAUUAGUUAAAAAUCAUUCCCAAAACAUAGAGUGCUAAAAAGUCGACCUGAUGAGAAACAGUUUUUCAAUGAGGUUCUUUAAAAACAUAAAAAUCUCAUCUCAUCUUACAAGAAAAAUUCCUGUGAAUUACAGUCCACUUCCAAAAAUCAUGGCUUCAAAUUUAUGUCAAUGUUACUAUUUCCAUAGUUUGGUGAAAAACUUCAACCAAAUCCACAUUUUACAUAGGCUUUCAGCAAGAACGAUCUGAAUAAAAUGCAACUCCCGGGGCCUUUAGGGCUACUAGUACAAUCAUGCAAAACAUGGAUGAGAUGAGAUAGGAUAUAUAAACUAUAGAUUGAAGGAAUAUGAAAGAAGGGUGUACAAAAAGAUUAAAGGCCAUUGUUUCAUCUAAGUAAAAAUCACUUCAUCAAAUGCAGCAGAUGAUACAAAUUGCAACUUGACAAAGCGACCCCUAUGCACAAAUGUAAAUGAAUAUAAUGCAGCGGACUUACAAGAGAUUAAUCAAGAGGAUAUGGCACUUGAAGGAACCAAAAAAGGAAAAUGGAAAGAAAACUUUUAUAGCUAAAAAACAAGUCAUAAAUAAAUCCAUUCUUUUCUUUUCUUUUUUUUUCUUCUUAAUUUACUACUGUGCCCAGGUCACCUUGGACCAGAUAACUCAACUGCAUGCAGAUUUUCAGUCGAGUCCACAAUCCAGUCAGAAUUGGAAUGAGGGGCCAGCUCCACCUCUUGCCGGAGAACUUCCACCUUUUGCCACUCAUCCCAUCUCUCUGCCAAGCCAUCACCUUCAAGCAUUCUCACCACUUCUGACAUCUUUGGUCGGUCCAUAGGGGAACCUUGCGUGCAGAGCAGUGCAACCUGGAUUAAUUGUUCUACCUCAGCUUCUAUGUAAUUGUUUUGUAGAUCAGGAUCAACCAACAUUUCAAGCUUUUUCUCCUUCAGGAGUCCUUUUACCUGUGAAAAUAUUCAGCUGUAUUAGAUUUACAUACAUUACAAUACAGAAAAGGGA
This 2660-nucleotide long non-coding RNA is filed under the name Vigna radiata. RNAcentral describes it as "long non-coding RNA (VRAD_LNC009241)". Lineage: Eukaryota; Viridiplantae; Streptophyta; Magnoliopsida; Fabales; Fabaceae. The record is from RNAcentral.